Parasteatoda tepidariorum (common house spider) is the source of this 1961-nucleotide non-coding RNA. NCBI's taxonomy places the organism in Eukaryota, Metazoa, Arthropoda, Arachnida, Araneae, Theridiidae. The record is from RefSeq and is a predicted model, not a curated record.
AUUCAGGUAUUUCAGCCGAGGAUAGAGCUACAUGGUUACACUUUUCGAAAAUCCAUUUGUGAGGAAAAUAAGCACAGCCAAACAUACUUUUGCGCAUGCGCAUUUAUCGCAGCGCGUGUACGUAGAGACAAAAGUCUCAGGAUCAAGAAUAUAAACAAACAAACCUAAACCUCUGUAAAUAAAUAUAGCUCAUUGCACCUCUAAUGUUAAAGUUGUCUUUCUAUAUUAGUAAAUUUAAACACAAAAAUAGCAGGGAACGGGUUCCUAUGUGAUCUUUUAAAGAUGUAUUCAGCACGCUAGAUAUAUGAACAUUACUCUCGGAUAUUUUAUAAAAGAAUAGUGUACCAGAUGACUGGAACUAUAAAUAUUCCGAUCAAAACUCUCCUGCUUCACAUAUCCAAUGUUAUAAAUGCGUGCGAUUUAUCAUCAGUGACACCUUCCAGAGUGAAGCAGUACUUGAAGUAUAGAUUUAAAAAUGCAUUACCCAGUGAAGAUGAUUUAGAUACUAUCUUGAAAAAUGUAAUUAAAAGUGCUAAACUUAGCCAAGUUCUAAAUGGUGGUUCUGUGCAUUUUCGAGAAGUUAAUUAUGAUAGCUUGGAUACUUAUGAGGCAAAACUUAAAGAUACAACGGUGGAAUAUGAAACUGAAGAUUACGUACUUACCAAAGAAGAACUUCCAAAAGAACGAGUUAUUAAUUCUAAUAUGAAAAGAGUGGAUCCAUGCCAUUACGCUCUACAAAAUCUUUUUCCAAAAACCCCCAGAAGUAUUAGGGGAUUUGUAAAACAAAAAAGGAAACAAACUGGAUUUGUACAGAGGAAGAGAAUGUUCUAUAAGUCGCUUACAGAAAUUGUGAAACGAAGAGUUUUAGAUCGAAGAAAAUAUUUAGCACAGAAGAAGAGAAAACGUCUUGCAGAAAAUUUGGAACUAUCUAGAGUUCUACAGAAUAAGACAAAACAUCCUAAAAAGGAACCAUCUAGAGUUCUACAGAAGAACACAAAACGUCCUAAAAAGGAACCAUCUAGAGUUCUACAGAAGAACACAAAACGUCCUAAAAAGAAACAGACUGGAUUUGUACAAAGGAAAAGAACUACAGUUCCACGGCAGAAGACAAAAUGUUCUAUAAAGAAUGGGCCGCAUGAAAAUGUCUUGGAAUUGUCUCCUGCCGAAAAAACGCUGCACCUUUUAAAUUUACUUGUUGGCUUCUUCUUUGUGAGGAACCAUCUACAGAUCUACAGGAGAACACAAAACGUCCUAAAAAGGAACCAUCUAGAGUUCUACAGAAGAACACAAAACGUCCUAAAAAGGAACCAUCUAGAGUUCUACAGAAGAACACAAAACGUCCUAAGAAGGUUGCGAAACCAACUGGAUUUGUACAAAAGAAAAGAACUACUGUUCCACGGCAGAAGACAAAGUGUUCUAAAAAGGAACCAUCCAGAGUUCUACAGAAGAACACAAAACAUCCUGAAAAGACAAAAAAGAAACCACUUUACGAGGAAACGAUGUAUGAUAAUUCUGUGUGGUAUAGUCAAGUGACAGGAGUAUUAAAACUGUGUGUCAAAAGAUCUUUGCCUAUGGAGCCAUAUCAUGGUGAAGUCAAAAAAUCGAAGACAGUGCCAAAGAAAAAGCAAGAGACAAAUACAAAGGAGCCAUAUCAUGGUGAAGUCAAAAAAUCGAAGACAGUGCCAAAGAAAAAGCAAGAGACAAAUACAAAGAGUCUAACAGAAAAGAAAGUCCCGAGAACGAGAAAUGCUCCAGCAAAAGAAAGUGAACGUUUGUUUCGACAUAACGUUCUAAGUUAUCUUCAAGAGAAUUUUAGUACAUUAUCAAAUGAACAAUUAAAAGCUAUUUUAAGGAACACUACUGACGAAGCCGCAGCAAUAAUGAAAUGUUCGGAGCUAUGUAACUAAUCUAAUAUAAAAAUGUAAAUAUUAAUAUUUCAUUAAAAAAAUUUUACUAUGUUA